This 730-nucleotide long non-coding RNA is filed under the name Vulpes vulpes (red fox). Its description in RNAcentral is "lncRNA (ENSVVUG00000018077.1)". The record is from RNAcentral. Lineage: Eukaryota; Metazoa; Chordata; Mammalia; Carnivora; Canidae.
GGACCUACCCCCUUCCCAUCCCUGUUCAUUCUUCAGACGUAGCAGAAAGAAUCCAAUGUGCUGCUUCCAUGUGGCAAUCUCGCAAAAUAGAAUUUAUUACCCCAAACAAAAAUAAAUGUAUUUCUUUUACCCAAACGCUUGCUGCAUUUUUCAUAUUCCUCUUCUUCACCAAAUCUCUUUCCUGAAUUCACUGGCCCCUCCCAACUAUCUCUUCUUUUCCACUAGAUGAACAUUCAUCCAUCCAGCCAGCCAGCAAUCCACCCAUCUAUCCAUUAACUCAGUCACCAUAAUGGAACCCCUUCUAUGCCACCUUCCAGAAACCAUACAAGGUGUUCUAGAUGCUGAUAAUGUAGGGUUUCUGCUCAGAAGCUCAGAAGCUGCUGUCUGGUGCCAAUCAUUCAGGAACACAUUACAGAACAUGAAGAGGGAACCAAGGAUUCUGGAGAGAUGAACAUCAAAUUCCCAGAGACCUCAAAUGUUCUGUUUGGAGAAACCAACUUGGAAACAAACCUAUGUUAAACUCUAUGCGACCAGAGAUUGGCCGUGUCUUCCUCUGUCACUUCUGGCAUAUACCAUGAACUAAGAACAUUUUUUUGAUGGUUGAUUAUUGGCCUAUGGGAAGGAGGAAGAAGGGAAAGGAGAAGGUCAAGGGAUAUUUUGGAAAUUUUCUAAUGUUUCUUAAAUGAGUAGGAUAUUUAAAAAAAAUAAAUGGUGUGAGUUUAUGGAAUCA